ACGGGUGUAGCUCAAUUGGUAGAGUAGCGGUCUCCAAAACCGUUGGUUGUGGGUUCGACUCCUACCACCCGUGCAA
RNAcentral lists this transfer RNA (76 nucleotides) under Marinilabiliales bacterium. RNAcentral describes it as "tRNA-Trp". It matches the Rfam family "tRNA". From Rfam's summary of the family: Transfer RNA (tRNA) molecules are approximately 80 nucleotides in length. The record is from RNAcentral. Lineage: Bacteria; Pseudomonadati; Bacteroidota; Bacteroidia; Marinilabiliales.